Molecule: ribosomal RNA, 945 nt
Filed under: human gut metagenome
Description: bacterial SSU rRNA
Rfam family: Bacterial small subunit ribosomal RNA
Source: RNAcentral
AUCAGUAGCCGACCUGAGAGGGUGAUCGGCCACAUUGGAACUGAGACACGGUCCAAACUCCUACGGGAGGCAGCAGUGGGGAAUAUUGCACAAUGGGCGCAAGCCUGAUGCAGCAACGCCGCGUGAACGAUGAAGGUCUUCGGAUCGUAAAGUUCUGUUGCAGGGGAAGAUAAUGACGGUACCCUGUGAGGAAGCCCCGGCUAACUACGUGCCAGCAGCCGCGGUAAUACGUAGGGGGCUAGCGUUAUCCGGAUUUACUGGGCGUAAAGGGUGCGUAGGUGGUCUUUCAAGUCGGUGGUUAAAGGCUACGGCUCAACCGUAGUUAGCCUCCGAAACUGGAAGACUUGAGUGCAGGAGAGGAAAGUGGAAUUCCCAGUGUAGCGGUGAAAUGCGUAGAUAUUGGGAGGAACACCAGUAGCGAAGGCGGCUUUCUGGACUGCAACUGACACUGAGGCACGAAAGCGUGGGUAGCAAACAGGAUUAGAUACCCUGGUAGUCCACGCUGUAAACGAUGAGUACUAGGUGUCGGGGGUUACCCCCCUCGGUGCCGCAGCUAACGCAUUAAGUACUCCGCCUGGGGAGUACGCACGCAAGUGUGAAACUCAAAGGAAUUGACGGGGACCCGCACAAGUAGCGGAGCAUGUGGUUUAAUUCGAAGCAACGCGAAGAACCUUACCUAAGCUUGACAUCCCUUAGACCGGUGUUUAAUCACACCUUCCCUUCGGGGCUGAGGUGACAGGUGGUGCAUGGUUGUCGUCAGCUCGUGUCGUGAGAUGUUGGGUUAAGUCCCGCAACGAGCGCAACCCUUGUCUUUAGUUGCCAGCAUUCAGUUGGGCACUCUAGAGAGACUGCCAGGGAUAACCUGGAGGAAGGUGGGGAUGACGUCAAAUCAUCAUGCCCCUUAUGCUUAGGGCUACACACGUGCUACAAUGGGUGGUACAGAGG